Papaver somniferum (opium poppy) is the source of this 2146-nucleotide long non-coding RNA. RefSeq lists it as uncharacterized. NCBI's taxonomy places the organism in Eukaryota, Viridiplantae, Streptophyta, Magnoliopsida, Ranunculales, Papaveraceae. The record is from RefSeq and is a predicted model, not a curated record. The transcript has 7 exons.
CUCAAAAUUCCAAAUUGGCCAAGUUAGUUUUCAAUAAUGGAUUCUUCUUCAAGGAUUUCAUUAUCUCGCGUCGAUCUCAUCAUUGAAACUGCCAGACGAAGAGGAAGAAGAUGAAACCCUUGUCUUGUUGUUGAUGAAGAUCCACUCACCCAAAUAGUUUUUCCUCUCAAGCCUCGAGUUGCCUCUUGGUCUUCUUAAGAUUUUCGCUGUCUUGGUUUAGGCUCCAGAGAUGGUACUGUAUAUGCAUGGAGGCUGGAGCGUCAACAUGCAAAAUUAGGUGGAGUGCGAGAAUAGCGACAUAGGUGUAGCUACUUGCUUGAAGUGGGCGCCUCAUAACUGCUUCCUCGGUUCUAAUGUUUUGGAUUCCUGACGACGCAAAAUAUUCUGUAAACUCGGGCGAUGCUGAACCUGAUGCAGGAAUAUGAAACUAGAUAUAGCUCUGCUUUCUUAUGGUAUUCAUCUUUUGCUUUAUCUCGCAUGCUGGUACUCUUAAAAAAAGAGUCCGUGCUAAACCCUCUUGUCAUUCCUCCUAAAUCUGCUGCUAGUUUCAUGUUUAGACAUUUCAUUCCGAAUUAUCCAAAUAUUCGACAACUUUAGCAGUGUUGCUUUGUUAUUCUUAUUUCUCUUUUCAGAUUAUUAAUACUAUUAAUCAAUCAGUUCCUACACUUCUGCAUCCUAAGAACAUGCCGCAACAUUCGUGGUUGAGUAUGUAAAUUAGUGUAGGUAUCGGCUGAAGUUUGUACAUGUAUGACAAGCACACACCGAAGGAAACACUUUAUGAUAUGAUCAGCCUAAUCAGAGGAUUUGACAUCUUCUUCUCCAGGGUUGGAAGUACAGGUGUGCUACUAGGUCUGUUGGAUUUGUUCGCACUAGAUGAACGUUGUAAAAAAGCUACCCUAUGUACUGCCUGUGGAAUUUUUAGGAACAGAAAGCUAAACGGAAAAUACGUCGCAGUACACCCCACUAUACAAAUUAAAAAUUUCUUUCAGAUAAACCCAACGUGUUAACCAACACGGAUUGGAAGGAUCUUGUGAAAUUUCAAAUUUUGUAGUACCGAAGAACAUCAGGUACUUCGCGGUCACAUUAUCAAGAGCAGAAGCCACCAGACGGGUUAGACCUUGUUCAGUUUUUCAGCUCAUGCAACAAUGGAACUCUGAGAAAUUUUCUGGGCGAUGUUUGUCCAAUAGACAGGCAUACAGCAUUGUCAACCUGAUUUAAUAGAGUUCGAGACCAAAUGUUCUGAAAGUGCCAUGAAGCCUUCCAUGUUUAGCCAAUUUGUCUGCUGCCAAUUUAUUUCUGCACUGAACAGUGCUUUAGAAGGAAUUGAAGCCUUUUGAGAUCAUCAUAGCUUCUUCAGUCCAUAGGGAGUCUGAUAUUUUUUCCUGAAACCUUGAAUACCAGAGCCCCUUUCGAGGCACAAAUAGCUCCAUUUGAGAGGUUGCGAUAAUGGAAAAGCUGACACAAAUUGCUCCUGUGUUCAAUGAGAGUAAUACCAAGACCAGCAAAAGUAGAGCGAGGUUGACAAAAACCAAUGAAUCUGCUAGUAUUAGAAUUAACUAAUCAUCUUGACAAGGAGCUAAAUUGGGUUUGCUGCUGGGUGGCUUUUGCAUCUUUAGAUUCCAAUUUUCCUCGUUUGAUAACUGUAAUCAAGUGGUAUGCAUGGCUUUAUAUUUCACAUAUGAUAUUGUAUCUGGAACUCUUCCACGUGUGCACAAUAUUCGGAACCAAGGGAUCAUGAGCAUUUAGUUGGCGGUGGUACUAAAGCUGAAAAAUAAAACAAACAACUCAAAGUUUUGAGGGAACUUGGAGAAGUUGUUAAGGGAUGAUAGUAAAUCGCGGGCUGGGCCAACAACCGGCCAAAAAUAUUAAAGCGCAGUGUUUAAUGUAUAGGAAUCCUGUGUGAUACUGUUCGAUCUUUCUGCCACUGCUGUGAGUUAGUUGGAGUCCAGGUACCAUUUUCGGGAUUGUGGCUUCAUGAAUUUGAUCACGAGGCUAUAAAAUGUACUUGAAAACUCAAGCCCACCAAUAAGUAGAGUCUUCUUUCGCUUCGUAAACUAAUUUGUAAUGCAGGUGGAUAUGAUUAUCCCCAGCAACAAACUCAUAUGAAACACCAUUAACUUCAAUCGAACUAUUACACGAAUUUUUC